AAACCUCACCAGGCCCGGACACCGGAAGGAUUGACAGAUUGAUAGCUCUUUCUUGAUUCGGUGGGUGGUGGUGCAUGGCCGUUCUUAGUUGGUGGAGCGAUUUGUCUGGUUAAUUCCGAUAACGAACGAGACUCUAGCCUGCUAAAUAGGCGUUACUUCUGGUAUCUCGAAGGCCCUCGGCUUCGGUCGAGCGGUUUUUACUACCGACGUACUAACAAAUCUUCUUAGAGGGACAGGCGGCGUCUAGCCGCACGAGAUUGAGCAAUAACAGGUCUGUAAUGCCCUUAGAUGUUCUGGGCCGCACGCGCGCUACACUGAAGGAAUCAGCGUGUCUUCCCUGACCGAAAGGCCCGGGUAACCCGCUGAACCUCCUUCGUGCUAGGGAUUGGGGCUUGCAAUUAUUCCCCAUGAACGAGGAAUUCCCAGUAAGCGCGAGUCAUAAGCUCGCGUUGAUUACGUCCCUGCCCUUUGUACACACCGCCCGUCGCUACUACCGAUUGAAUGAUUUAGUGAGGUCUUCGGACUGGUGCGCGGUAAUGUAAUUCUUACGUUGCCGAUUGCGCCGGGAAGAUGACCAAACUUGAUCAUUUAGAGGAAGUAAAAGUCGUAACAAGGUUUCCGUAGGUGA
Molecule: ribosomal RNA, 628 nt
Filed under: Lophyrocera variabilis
Lineage: Eukaryota; Metazoa; Arthropoda; Insecta; Hymenoptera; Eucharitidae
Description: SSU rRNA
Rfam family: Eukaryotic small subunit ribosomal RNA
Source: RNAcentral